Molecule: ribosomal RNA, 500 nt
Filed under: uncultured bacterium
Lineage: Bacteria
Description: partial 16S ribosomal RNA
Rfam family: Bacterial small subunit ribosomal RNA
Source: RNAcentral
AUUGAACGCUGGCGGCAUGCCUUACACAUGCAAGUCGAACGGCAGCACGGGGGCAACCCUGGUGGCGAGUGGCGAACGGGUGAGUAAUACAUCGGAACGUGCCCAGUCGUGGGGGAUAACGUAGCGAAAGUUACGCUAAUACCGCAUACGAUCUCUGGAUGAAAGCGGGGGACCGCAAGGCCUCGCGCGAUUGGAGCGGCCGAUGGCAGAUUAGGUAGUUGGUGGGGUAAAAGCUUACCAAGCCUCCGAUCUGUAGCUGGUCUGAGAGGACGAUCAGCCACACUGGGACUGAGACACGGCCCAGACUCCUACGGGAGGCAGCAGUGGGGAAUUUUGGACAAGGGGCGCAAGCCUGAUCCAGCAAUGCCGCGUGCAGGACGAAGGCCUUCGGGUUGUAGACUGCUUUUGUACGGAGCGAAACGGCUUCCACUAAUACUGGGGGCUAAUGACGGUACCGUAAGAAUAAGCACCGGCUAACUACGUGCCAGCCGCCGCCGUAA